This 468-nucleotide ribosomal RNA is filed under the name uncultured bacterium. Its description in RNAcentral is "partial 16S ribosomal RNA". It matches the Rfam family "Bacterial small subunit ribosomal RNA", at positions 28 to 507 of the family's 1533-position model. The record is from RNAcentral.
GACGAACGCUGGCGGCGGGCUUAACACAUGCAAGUCGAACGGAAAGGCCCUGCUUUUGUGGUGUGCUCGAGUGGCGAACGGGUGAGUAACACGUGAGUAACCUGCCCUUGACUUUGGGAUAACUUCAGGAAACUGGGGCUACUACCGGAUAGGAGCUCCUGCUGCAUGGUGGGGGUUGGAAAGUUUCGGCGGUUGGGGAUGGACUCGCGGCUGAUCAGCUUGUUGGUGGGGUAGUGGCUUACCAAGGCUUUGGCGGGUAGCCGGCCUGAGAGGGUGACCGGCCACAUUGGGACUGCGAGACGGCCCAGACGCCUACGGGGGGCAGCAGUGGGGAAUAUUGCACAAUGGGCGGAAGCCUGAUGCAGCGACGCCGCGUGCGGGAUGACGGCCUUCGGGGUGUAAACCGCUUUCGCCUGUGACGAAGCGUGAGUGACGGUAAUGGGUAAAGAAGCACCGGCUAACUACGUG